UCCAGGCUGACUUCUACCACACUGCAACGUGGUGCUGUACUGUACAGAAUUAGAAGGCUGCAUUGCAAUCACAUCUGUUUCGAACUCCUGUAUUAAAUAAACUCUUUCAGAUACAAGAAAAAUCACAUCUGCUCCAGACAAUUUUAUGUUGGUGUGAAGAAUGGUUUGGAACAAAUGAGCUGUAAUGGUAUAAUAGCUGAAGAUUAUAAGUUCAUGACUUGUCUUGAAGACAAGACUUUUGAGGAAUGGCCGAGGUCACUUGGUUUGUUCAGCUUGAGGAAGAGAAGACUGAGGUGUGACCUCGUCGCAGUCUACAGCUUCCUAAGGGGGGACAGUGGAGGGGGGAGGUGCUGAUCUCCUCUCUGGUGACCAGCGAUGGGACACAAGGAAAUGGAAUGAAGCUGUGUCAGGAAUCAACAUUCUUGUUUCAUUUGAACAACUACAACAGAUGCAAGACUGAAGAAAUUACUAGGCAAAACUCUACAACUUCGUGUGUUCCAGUGCCAGCACUGCCAAGAGUGAGAGCGUUUGCCUUAAAGACAAAGGCUUUCCCCUCUUAAAGGCUUUAUACAGAGAAAUAGAGGAGGGAAUAGUCACCUUUCCUUCUCAGUUUCCUCCAGCAGUUCACCUGUGGCAAAAUUCUCUCACCAUGUUCAGUCCCUAAUUCGGCGAUUAAACACUGCACCAAAUGGCUCAGAUGACACGCGUAGUAAUCUGAUCUUGUGCCCUGCCUGAACACGCAGCAAACCAAACGUAUGUCACCAAAGAUGUGGCUGCCAGCCUUUGCUUUGUGUAGUCCACGGAUUUGGCAGCCCGGUGCUUCGGAGAUCAGGACAGAGAAAUUGGCACAAGCAUGGAGUGAAAUCUGCUCCAGACGCCUCGCUGACGUUCGACUGAAGGUGCCACUGCUGUUUGCCUCACUUACACAACUUCAGGAUGGACUCACUGUUUUAAAAUAGCAAGUUUUGAAUGUGGUUAUUACCACACUGUGUUUUGAAGCCAUGAGACUGAAGAGUCUGGAAAGAUUAUCUAUGUAUUAAAUGAGUUCUCCGAUACUGCCAGUGAUAAAACCAUCAUGGGUUCAUUAAUGAUGACAGCAGUAAAUCUUUUCCCAAACAAUUUGUCGAUAUGUUUCUGCUCUAAGUUUGAUCCCUAAGCAAUGGGUGAUUUAUCUGGUUUAACAUAAUUUAGUUGGUAGGAUUAUGUCAGGAAAAAUCACGAACUAACCUAAAUUAAGUAUCUGUGUGGUUCGGUACUGUUUACAAAAUCAAAUCAUAAAGUACAAGCUAAUCACAGGUUAAACUUUUAGGAUUUUUUCAUAUAAAUUUCUAAUGUAAAUUGUAAUGCUUUAAUACAUUUUUUUCUAACUGAUUUAAAUGCUAACAUUACCUUUUAACUACUAGUAAAUUAAAAAUGUUUUUUGAAGUUCUGCUUUAUAUCAUGAUUUUGACGCUUUUUCCAGGUCAAAUGUUACAUACUCUUCCAUGGCUUAUAAUCCAUUUAUAUAUGUUUAGUUGUGUACUUUUUCUUUUCUGAAUAUAAUACCUUUGGAGAUUUAUUUUCCGUAAGAGAUGUAUGAUAGUUCUUAUUAGACACAGCAUUAAUGUGCGUUUUAGAUUAAUUUUUUUUAAUUCUUAUCAGUGGUUUUUAUCCUUUACAUCACUCUUAUAUUUUAUAUGAAAUUUAUAUAUUUAAAAUUUUUCUCAAGUAGGUAAAUAUUGUUAAAUUGUGGUCCAAUUUCCCUCAAAGUUAUUGGUUAUGGUAGCAGCAUAUUUAUAAUAACAUUUAAUAGCACAUACAUAAAAAUGUAUAAAAUGAUAAUGUGUUACAAUACAAAACAAUUUGAUUUAAUAUAUGAAAACAAGGAGUCUGAAAUUGUGUUUAUUCUAAAAUUUUACAUCUUGGUUAGGUAAUCACUGGCCUACCUGUUUUACCACGCUAAGAGUAAGCGUGAUUAGCUGUUAUUCUUAUAUCGCUAACUCAUUAUUCUCUGAAAUACAAAUUUAGGAGAAUCCUGGCUUCUCAUCUGCAAUAAGAUACAACUUGAGUGUUUGAAGCAGUAGUGACAUCUUUCUUUGGGCAAGAUAAAAUUAUAAUAGAUAUUUUAUGGAUAUCUUUUAUAUUCUUACAGGUUACUUUUGGAGUAAAUCAGGUGCAUGCUUUAAAUUGUAUUAUAAGAAAGGUUCUGUUGUUGAAUCACUAAAUGGGGCUCUGAGACACUGUCCUUUGUCAAAACAAAACAAAACCAUGAGCUGCACACAGACAAAGUUCAAAGUAAAUCUGUUAACCUCUGAACCUUAGAUUGUCCCAGCUGUAAAACAGGAGAAUGAUACUUCCCUGUCUCAUUGGUGUGCUAUGUAGAUAAGUGUGUGAUGUGCAGUGUACAGGUGUCAUAGUUCUCUAUUAAUCUUUUGUCUUUAUGUGUGAGUGUUGGUAUGGCUAUUUCAUAAUCUCUGUAAUCCUCUGUUAUAUCCUUUGCUUUUUGAUAUUUGCUUUUAAUUACUCAGUCUUUAUGGGCUGGAGUGGGUUCAUCCUCAUGCUAAAAUUACUUUUUUUGUCUAGAUAUUCCUAGUUUUUCCAAGUCUUGUUAGCCUGUUUUUUUCCCCAGAGUGUUUCAUGAAAUCUGUUGGCUUAUUAUGUGGUUACUGCAGAAAUGGUCUCUUCCACUCAGUACAACAUCAGUUCCCAUUUUACAUCAGUAUGCAUCCCAAAAUAAAACAUAAGCUAAUUUUGUGUAUUCUUAAGUGCUUAAGCAGUUUGUUAAUAAAAACUGUCAAGUGUUACUUCCAGUCAUUUUGAGCUAAAACCAUGAAUUCAGGAUGAGUCUCUUCUUUGGGUUCAGCAUCUGUCAGAGAAUGUUCUCUUGGAUUUCUGCUUCGUAGUCAAUUUCCCCUCUCACUGAGGAUCCCUGCUCCCAUUUGUUUCUUCAUCAUAAUUUAGAGACCUUGUUGACUGCAGAGGUGGACAGUCUCUCUUUAUGGCCGUGUUCUUCCUCGCAGGAUGCCAUCUUGCAUGUUGGAGAGGCAGCCUUCUAAUAGAAUUUCACAUUUCAGACAAGGCCUCUUAGGUGAAAAUAUCAAAGCGUUUUGUGAAGAUGGACAAAUAUCAGUAACUCAGAGACAUAGUCCAGUUGAAGGAGAUGCCCACAGUGACAGGCUGGCUAAGGCAAUUGCUCUUUGAAUACACACUAGCAUUUGUUCCCACCCCUUUUUAUCUGUUGGUUCAAUCAGGUGUUCACUUGACUCAAGCUGUGAAGUCUGCACCUGAAGCAUGCCUCAGCUAACCUGGCAUCUCUUUCACAGCAUCUCUUCAGUUGAAUUGGCCGAAUACUGGUCUGCAGCCCUUCUUACCACUAAACAUCUCUGUUGUACUUUAUUUUCACAUUGAUAUCACAGCAGAAGUUGCCUUCAAAAGCACAAAGAGACGUAGUUAGUCAUACAUUUGGAUUUAGCUUUUCCUUCCUGCUUCUGGUCUUUUUCCUUCUCUAGAGGAGUAUGAGAUUUGCAUAUGCUCUUUAAGGCUAAUACUUUACCUUCCCCACAGAUUCUUUUUAACAGAAUGGCUAAAAGCCUUUUGUGCUUCAAACCAAAGAAAGCACAAUGUAAGCUAGUGCAUUAUACAUAGAUUUUAUGGGGUUUUUUUUCAAAAUAUCAACUGCUAGAAGGAUUUUGGGUUUCUCUUCUGAACAGCAAACAGCUUCUAAGCUGCCCAAGCAGUUGAUUUUCCCCUGCAAAGAGGAGGAGAAAAUAUUUUGAUGAGGAACGUGCUCUUGCCAAAUGUUCUGAGCAUAAAGUUUUAUUAACUAGGAAUACUCAGAGCAUCUUAAAAUAUCAAGAAAAAUGAACGAAGGGGAAACUCUGUUUUGAGAUAGUCAUGAUCCUUUUUAUAUUCCCAGCUACAAGGAACACGAAAAUGGCAUAUCUUCUGGGAGACAACCGCUUAUGAGCAGGGUGCAGGAAAACAAGGCGAACCAGCAGGAGUUCUGGGGACAUUUGCAUUAACUGCAGAAGAGGUAUGAUCAAACCAGUUGCAGGUGUCAGAAUGUGGAAGGAACAAAGGAGAGAAGUGUCUGCUUGUACCAGCCUUGCACACACAACCUUCUGUCCCUGCCAUUUCCAAAGUAUAAUAUGGGUUUGUUAAACUUCUUUUUCUGUAAGAAGCUCUGUUAUCACAUUUGGCUUUAUAUUCCAGCCCGCUCCCAAUUCCAUAACCUGACACCACUUAAAUUCUUUCUCUGAUGACAUUUUCCCAAAGAAUCAGAAAGAGCACAAUUGCUUUCAUGAAGGCAAGAAAUCAAUAUGAUCAGUGAGAAGCGAAACAGGACUGACUUCAAAAGACCAGGAAGGAAUCAUAGUUGGAGGGAAGGGUAAUCCUGGCUGCUGCCAGCCCUGAGCCAUGUGGUUAGAAAGACUGAAGCUAAUCUUGAUGCUGCUUCCAGAUGCAAUGAGAGUGGCAAUGAGUGGCAACGUUAUUUCACUUGGUUCUAGAAGAUGGCAAGAUCAAUUCUUCUAAGGUAAUGAAGAGAUGAAUUUAUGACUCCUGUGCACAGCUGGUAGAGGUAAAUAAUGAAGUAAUUUUCUUGACUGGCUCUUACAAGCCAAUUGUACACAAAGGCACUGUCUUCUCAACACUGAGAGAAGACUUGAUUGCCUGACAAUAAAGACUAUUCCCCAAAAACCUAGUUCAAAAGUGGUAAGGAAAGCUUCCAUAAAUUAAAGGUAAAGAAUUGCUACUCUCUUUUCACGCAAAAUCCCACUGUGAGAUGUCUCAUUUAUUCUGGCUUAUUCCUUCCUUGGCAUCUUCUUUUUUUCCCCACUCUUUUCUUAACCCUCAUAUGAUUUUCUUCCACCACCUGGAAAGGAGAAACUCUAAAGUGAUUAACUUUCUAUUUGAAUGAACAUCUGCAUUCAGACAGGACAUAAUAGUUUACAUUUUGGAGAACUGAGUUUGAUAAAAAUAUCAGGAACUAUAACAAGUGAUCCUGGGUGUGAGGAUGAGAAGGUGUUUUCAAAGCUUCUUAAAACCUAUAAUGAACAAUUACACAAUAAAAACCACUGAAAUACAAUUAUUUUUUUUGCUGCUAAUAAUUAGAAAUUGACUAACAUUUAAAGUUGGAGGGAGAAGGGACCUGUAUCCCUUACUGUAACAUCCAAUUUACUGUGUCUGUGAUGGAUCCCUUUAUCUAUGUGGUCAUUCUUUUCCAAAUUCUGCUGAGUCUCUGUCUUCCGUAAUGGCAGUUUGUAAACUAUUUACAUUAAUAAAUUUUAAAUUUAUUUCUCUUCAGUUUUACUGAAUGAAGAUGGUUAAGUUGGCCUGGCUCUGUUUUCUUUGACACUCAUUAAAUGCCUUUAAUCUGUUCAGAUGGCUCUGCACAGAGUCAGGAUAUAAUGACCCUUCUAAUUUGUUUCAUUUCUAAAUUAUUCUUUACCUAUCUCUGGAGGUAUUUCCAAAUUUAUCUGCAGCCCUCCAAACUUCUACAGUAUUUCACUUUGAGUUGGAGUAUAUAGAAUGGAACACAAUAAUAUCUGGGAGAAUAUAAUUAACAUUCCUCCAGCAAAAUAUUUUCCAUUAUUUUCCGUCCACCUCUUCACCCACCUUACCAUUUUGAUGAUAUUUCUAUUAUAGCUAUUUCAGCACUAUUAACGUUUUCAGUGUGCUCACUUGCAGUGACAUGUCAAGACUUGUGCCUGAGUAGACACAGUUAAUUUAAAACUCAACAAUGUAUAUGACUCAUGCAAAUGUUCACAACGUGACUUGACUUGCACAAUUUUAAUCUACCAUUGUGCUGACAAAUCGCAUAAUAUUGUUUGGUUCUUCUAGACUUCCCUAAUUUAAAAGACUGGUGUCAUCAUCAAAUUUUGCAACAUCACCGUACAUCCUACUGUCCAGAGUGUAUACAUUCAACUGUGGGUUAAAAGCCUUUAGGCAUCCUAAUCAUGAGAGUUUUCUAUGAUGACAAUUGACAGCUUAUUCCAUUUAUUUCCAUUUAUCUUAGAAUAUUGUAAUGCAUAGAUCACGUUUCAGGAAUGUUAACUAACUGCCUAUGUAUCACUAUAUUCUUCCCCCAUGCACCUGGGGAGGCUAGUGUUAUCUCUGUUUUGCAUGUAAGGAAACUAAGACAGACAAGCCAGAAUAAAUGAGACAUCUCACAGUGGGAUUUUGCAUGAAAAGAGAGUAGCAGUUCUUUACCUUUAAUUUAUGGCAGCUUUUCUUACGACUUUUGAACAAGUUUUUUGGGAAUAGGUUCUGAGCAGGGAUCUUGUCAGCUGCAGGACACUGCUUGAGAGAGUAUGCAGUGAUCUUCAUGAUAGCCUUCACCAUAACUUGGAGUCCUGUUGGAGUUGUACAUCUUUUGUUUUUAGAAUAACCAGCUCUUAAGUACCUACAAUGGAGCUUCCUGUCCUGUGUAGCCUUUAAAGUGAAAACAUAAAUAAGCACAUAAAAUCACUGUAUUGUUCACAGCUCUGGACGUUAUUUUUGUAUUGGCAUUUUUGCUCACAUAGUCACUGUGUAUUGAAAAUGGAGUUUUUUCUCUCUAUAGGGUUUGUUCUAAGAAGUUGGUGCUGAAGGUCUAACACUCCCAAGUGUCAGGUUCUGCUGUAGUUCAAUGUAUUUAUUUACACUCUGGACAGGAGGACAUGCAGCAGUGAGGCAAAAUUUGCUAACAACUUACUCCUGACACCUUAUGUAUGCUGGAAAAGCUACACAUUACAUUUUGCUGCUGAUGCUUUUUGCCAUUUAGUCCAAUUUAUAUUCUGAGAAAACAGGAAGUCUUUUGUUAAAUAGCUAACAACUAGGAACUUCUCUGUUUGUAGUUUACUUGAUUAAUCCAAAACUGUUUUUCAGAUGUAAUGCUUCUCAGGUACAGCCUGCAGGAUCUACUACUUCUUCACAGUCAUGAGUUUGGUGGAGUACUUCUGUUUGUACUCAGUCCCUCCAUCCCUUUCAGGUCAACUAAAACAGCAUUAGAACAUGUUCUGUGGUUAUUAAGGACUGUUAUUACAUAUAGAACAGACCAUAUGAUAUGGUUAUUAUUGUUGACUAUAUCAUACCUAUGGAAAUAAGAAGCUAGUAAGAGAAUGAUAAUCUUAAAUCUCCUCAGCUUAUAGAUACCAACAAUGACUACAUAAAAAGAAACAGAGCUUUUGGGUUUGGAUCAAUAUUAAAAUUUUGGGUAUUUUCCACUAGUGAGGCUGUGAUUAUUUGGAAUACAUCUGUCUCCUAACUGCAAUGAUAUUUCAUAGUGAAAGUUUUGUGCUGGUUUUGGCUGGGAUAGAGUUAAUUUUUUUUUGUAGUAGCUAGUAUGGGGUUGUUUUGGUUUUGUGCUGAAAAGAGUGUUGGCAAUAUAGCAAUGUUUUCAUUACUGCUGAGCAGUGCUUACACAAAGCCUUUCCUGCUUCUCACCCCACCCCACCCCACCAGUGAGAAGGCUGGGGGUGCACAAGGAGUUGGGAGGGGGCACAGCCGGGACAGCUGACCCCAAGUGACCCAAGGGAUAUUCCAUACCAUAUGACAUCAUGCUCAGCAUAUAAAGCUGGGGGAAGAAGAAGAAAGAGGGGGAUGUUCAGAGUGAUGGCAUUUGUCUUCCCA
Molecule: long non-coding RNA, 7590 nt
Organism: Grus americana (Whooping crane)
Lineage: Eukaryota; Metazoa; Chordata; Aves; Gruiformes; Gruidae
Exons: 5
Source: RefSeq, a predicted model, not a curated record